AGCCCCUGAAACAAGGGAGGCUUGCUUCAAAUCUCUGUUCCCACAACUCUCUGUCUCUGACUGUCUGUCUGCCUCUGUCUCUUUUCUUCUUCACUCAGAAACAAAAGAAGUUGGUCCUCUCCAAGCUGCAGCACAAUGACUCGUACCUGAAGUCCCUCCCCAAAACCAGCUAUUACCUGAUCUUUGGCCUCCAGAGGCAGUUAGCUGAGCGUGGACAUCUGAAAACCCACCACGAUUUGGAGGACUUUUAUAGGUGUAUCACAUAUAAUUGUCACCCAUCAACACUACAUAAAAGCCUGGAGGAUGUCAGCGAAAGGAUGCUGGAAAGCAGACCUGCAGCUCAUUUUAUGGCUCAAUACAAGACACCAGAAAAACACUGUGCUGCAGAAGAUAGAGGACACAAGAA
Non-coding RNA from Plectropomus leopardus (leopard coralgrouper), 406 nucleotides. Lineage: Eukaryota; Metazoa; Chordata; Actinopteri; Perciformes; Serranidae. The record is from RefSeq and is a predicted model, not a curated record.